GACGAACGCUGGCGGCGUGCUUAACACAUGCAAGUCGAACGGAAAGGCCCUGCUUUUGUGGGGUGCUCGAGUGGCGAACGGGUGAGUAACACGUGAGUAACCUGCCCUUGACUUUGGGAUAACUUCAGGAAACUGGGGCUAAUACCGGAUAGGAGCUCCUGCUGCAUGGUGGGGGUUGGAAAGUUUCGGCGGUUGGGGAUGGACUCGCGGCUUAUCAGCUUGUUGGUGGGGUAGUGGCUUACCAAGGCUUUGACGGGCAGCCGGCCUGAGAGGGUGACCGGCCACAUUGGGACUGAGAUACGGCCCAGACUCCUACGGGAGGCAGCAGUGGGGAAUAUUGCACAAUGGGCGGAAGCCUGAUGCAGAAACGCCGCGUGCGGGAUGACGGCCUUCGGGUUGUAAACCGCUUUCGCCUGUGACGAAGCGUGAGUGACGGUAAUGGGUAAAGAAGCACCGGCUAACUACGUG
Molecule: ribosomal RNA, 468 nt
Filed under: uncultured bacterium
Lineage: Bacteria
Description: partial 16S ribosomal RNA
Rfam family: Bacterial small subunit ribosomal RNA
Source: RNAcentral